RNAcentral lists this ribosomal RNA (549 nucleotides) under uncultured Megasphaera sp. RNAcentral describes it as "bacterial SSU rRNA". It matches the Rfam family "Bacterial small subunit ribosomal RNA", at positions 355 to 896 of the family's 1533-position model. Lineage: Bacteria; Bacillati; Bacillota; Negativicutes; Veillonellales; Veillonellaceae. The record is from RNAcentral.
UGGGGAACCUUCGCAAUGGGCGAAAGCCUGACGGAGCAACGCCGCGUGAGUGAAGACGGCCUUCGGGUCGUAAAGCUCUGUUAUAUGGGACGAACGUAUCUAUGGCCAAUACCCAUAGAUAGUGACGGUACCGUAAGAGAAAGCCACGGCUAACUACGUGCCAGCAGCCGCGGUAAUACGUAGGUGGCAAGCGUUGUCCGGAAUUAUUGGGCGUAAAGGGCGCGCAGGCGGCCGGUCAAGUCUGUCUUAAAAGUGCGGGGCUCAACCCCGUGAUGGGACGGAAACUGGCAGGCUGGAGUGUCGGAGAGGAAAGCAGAAUUCCUAGUGUAGCGGUGAAAUGCGUAGAUAUUAGGAGGAAUACCAGUGGCGAAAGCGGCUUUCUGGACGACAACUGACGCUGAGGCGCGAAAGCCAGGGGAGCAAACGGGAUUAGAUACCCCGGUAGUCCUGGCCGUAAACGAUGGAUACUAGGUGUAGGAGGUAUCGACCCCUUCUGUGCCGGAGUUAACGCAAUAAGUAUCCCGCCUGGGGAGUACGGCCGCAAGGCUG